Molecule: long non-coding RNA, 416 nt
Filed under: Cyanistes caeruleus (blue tit)
Lineage: Eukaryota; Metazoa; Chordata; Aves; Passeriformes; Paridae
Description: lncRNA (ENSCCEG00000004570.1)
Source: RNAcentral
AGACAUCUCUAGCUGCAGGGCAAAUUUAAGGACUAAUGCAGCUGUUCCCAUAAUUGGCAUGUCGAUAAAGGCUACCUCUGGUGGGGUUGGAGCUUUAGACAAGCCUGUCUGGAGCAGAUGGUACAGAGCUUCUCUGUGAUAUAAGACACACUAUUAUCUACAGACACCCAGCUGUCUGCAAGUAAACUGAAUGCGUAUGUUCUGAUUAUAAUCGAUGGAGAUAUGGGAUAUAAUGCAGUUGCCAAUCUGCAGGCAUCCACUGCCAUGCCACACUAUCUAAGGAGUCUGUUUUCCAAAACUGUGUUUAUUCAAGAAACAACUGACUGCUGCUGAGAACAAUGAGGUUACACACAGAGUAUGGUAAGAUAAGAAUUCAUCCUAAAGUAUGGUUGUCUCCUCAUUUUCUAUUAUUUUGU